This is a long non-coding RNA of Equus quagga, 522 nucleotides long. RefSeq lists it as uncharacterized. The record is from RefSeq and is a predicted model, not a curated record. The transcript is spliced from 3 exons. Lineage: Eukaryota; Metazoa; Chordata; Mammalia; Perissodactyla; Equidae.
GGGAGCACCCCAGACCACCACCCUCCGCCUGCAGUGUUGCUCCCAGGGGCUGGCCCACACGGGUGCUGCCUGCUGUCUUCGCCAAGAUGGACAGCUAAUGGCCCCAAACUGAAAGGAGAUUUUGCCAUUGGAAAAGGCACCUAUUUGCAGAGUGCUGGAUGUGAAAGCAGCUGAUGGUGUCCUGCGUGUCUGAUGGCAAAGACAGCCCUUUCCAGAUCCACCGGAGGUUCACAAACCGGUUGGGAAGCUGCUGGAAGAUGAUUGGACCCACUGGGAAUAGGGACUCUUGAAAUGUUCGGGUCUCGUGAAAGCCGCCUUUGCCGAGAUCAGCUGGACUGAAAAGCUCCCCAGCCGGUGCCUCCAACGCUCCCCAAGGAGGCCAUGACUUGCUGCCUCUUCGCAACACCAAGACGCACCUGGCCCGUCCUCUGUUCUGUAGAUCAUGGCAUGGAUUUUUCCUUCUUGUCAAUAGGAGGAAAAAGUACAGGAACAUGAAUUCUUUAGGGCAAAAGGGACACUUCU